UUGAAGAUGUUUAGUGUCCAUAAUUGAAACAAAGAGUAUGGCAAAGAAUAAAGGAGAUGGCAGAGAAAUAGAAGACAUGGUCAACAAACUCCAUUUGAGUAUAUCAGUAAAGAAGGUCAUGAACGAGGCUAUGUUACCCAAUUCAUGGACCUAGCAUAAACAAAAAGAACUCAAUUUUUAGAAAUAAGAAAAGAUAUCAAUAGAACAAAAAAUAAUUAAAAGUGUGGAGAAGGUCAGUCUUGGACCUCCAAGAGCCUAAUAGUCUAGUUGGUGAGAACAAGAAAAGGUGAUAAAUUUUAUAGUAUGGAUUUCAUGUGGUAGGAAUAAUCACAAGUGUGAGAGUGAU
RNAcentral lists this long non-coding RNA (346 nucleotides) under Glycine max (soybean). RNAcentral describes it as "long non-coding RNA (GMAX_LNC004754)". The record is from RNAcentral. Lineage: Eukaryota; Viridiplantae; Streptophyta; Magnoliopsida; Fabales; Fabaceae.